GGGCCGGCUCUAGCUCAGCGGUUACUUCGAACGAAAGUGCUACUUUCCACUAAAUCUCUUCGGAGGUUCGAGCCCCGCGGGCGCUUUCCGGUCCUUUA
Molecule: vault RNA, 98 nt
Filed under: Ornithorhynchus anatinus (platypus)
Lineage: Eukaryota; Metazoa; Chordata; Mammalia; Monotremata; Ornithorhynchidae
Description: Vault RNA (ENSOANG00000017766.2)
Rfam family: Vault RNA
About the family: This family of RNAs are found as part of the enigmatic vault ribonucleoprotein complex.
Source: Rfam by way of RNAcentral